GAUGAACGCUGGCGGCGUGCUUAACACAUGCAAGUCGAACGGAAAGGCUCCUGCUUGCAGGGGUACUCGAGUGGCGAACGGGUGAGUAACACGUGGGUGAUCUGCCCUGCACUUCGGGAUAAGCCUGGGAAACUGGGUCUAAUACCGGAUAGGACCACAUUUUGGAUGGUGUGGUGGAAAGUUUUUCGGUGUGGGAUGAGCUCGCGGCCUAUCAGCUUGUUGGUGGGGUAAUGGCCUACCAAGGCGUCGACGGGUAGCCGGCCUGGGAGGGUGUACGGCCACAUUGGGACUGAGAUACGGCCCAGACUGCUACGGGAGGCAGCAGUGGGAAAUAUUGCACAAUGGGCGCAAGCCUGAUGCAGCGACGCCGCGUGGGGGAUGACGGCCUUCGGGUUGUAAACUCCUUUCGCUAGGGACGAAGCGCAAGUGACGGUACCUGGAGAAGAAGCACCGGCUAACUACGUG
Molecule: ribosomal RNA, 465 nt
Filed under: uncultured bacterium
Lineage: Bacteria
Description: partial 16S ribosomal RNA
Rfam family: Bacterial small subunit ribosomal RNA
Source: RNAcentral